This 389-nucleotide ribosomal RNA is filed under the name uncultured bacterium. RNAcentral's name for it is "bacterial SSU rRNA". It matches the Rfam family "Bacterial small subunit ribosomal RNA", at positions 28 to 417 of the family's 1533-position model. The record is from RNAcentral.
GACGAACGCUGGCGGCGUGCUUAACACAUGCAAGUCGAGCGGUAAGGCCUUUUCGGGGGUACACGAGCGGCGAACGGGUGAGUAACACGUGGGUGACCUGCCCUCAGCUCUGGGAUAAGCCUGGGAAACUGGGUCUAAUACCGGAUAUGACUCCAUGACGCAUGUUGUGGGGUGGAAAGCCUUGUGCGGCUGAGGAUGGGCCCGCGGCCUAUCAGCUUGUUGGUGGGGUGANGGGCCUACCAAGGCGACGACGGGUAGCCGGCCUGAGAGGGCGACCGGCCACACUGGGACUGAGACACGGCCCAGACUCCUACGGGAGGCAGCAGUGGGGAAUCUUGCGCAAUGGGCGAAAGCCUGACGCAGCGACGCCGCGUGAGGGAUGACGGCCU